Microcebus murinus (gray mouse lemur) is the source of this 1963-nucleotide non-coding RNA. The record is from RefSeq and is a predicted model, not a curated record. NCBI's taxonomy places the organism in Eukaryota, Metazoa, Chordata, Mammalia, Primates, Cheirogaleidae.
GCACCGUCCUGCUCACUCGCAUCGCCAGAGAGAGCCACUGAGCCCUCCCCGUGGGGCCUCCCGUUCCUGGGAGGCAGAAUCCACCAGGUACCUGCCCAGGAAGACGUCGGCUGCCCAGGGUCCUGUCACGCGUGAACACGUGAGUCGCUGGCCGCACGCUCUUUCAGAUGAGCCUGGCUGCGGUUUUCACAGCCGCUUGUCAUUGGACUGGGCGUCUUUUCUCUCCCGCGCACUGCCCGCUUGUACCCACGGGGCGUCCCUGCCUGGCAGACCCGAAGCCGUGCCCGCCAGACCUGCGGUGCCCUUCAGCGGGCAAAGACGUGACUUGGGGACAGAAGACAGCGCAGCUUCAGCAGCGAAGCCCCGCGGCCCCCGGGGAGCUGCUUGGAUUCCGGGAACCGGGGAUGAGGGGAAUGGCCAGGCGGCGCGGCCCGUGUUCUCUUUGUCCUGUGUCACCGCCGGCCUCGGGCUGCGGGGAGCUCUCUGCUGUGCAUCAGCCAAGCUGGAGCCCGAGCACCGCGUGAGCUCGUGCCGGGGGGACCCAGGGGCUGCAAGGCAGGACCCCACCCACGUGGCUGCACCACGGAGACAGCAGGGGUGGGGGCCACGCUGGCCUGGCCUCUCCACAAAACCAGUUCUGGAUGGGGAGAUGCCCUUGCGUGGUGUGUGUCCAAUAAGACAGAGAGUCAGGACAGCGUGGGCCGAGCCCUGGGCGGGAGGCUGUGAGCUGCCGCACGUGGGUGGGAAGCCCCCAGUGCCGUCCCGCUGAGGCCCUGCUCACCUCUCAGGAGGGCCGGCGGGACCCUGCAGUGACAGGACCAACGUACACCGCCAGGCAAAGAUUGGCCGCGCCCCGCCCCUGCCCCGCUCUCCCAGCCUGGCCCGGGUCAUCGUGUUGGGCCUCCCCUUGGGGCCCGGGAGCACUGUUCUCUCACUGCUAUAAAACUGGCCAAGGUCUCCCGAGCGUGCCUUGGUCCCACCUGCCUGGGGCCAUCACCUGUGCCUGCCCGGUGCUUUGGGCGCCCACACCUGCCCUCCCUCCAGGCCAUCAGAACCCUCCAGAACCCCUCUCCCAGAACCUCUAGACACCCUGGGUGGGGCCCUUCCCCCGUGCAUAGCUCAGGCCUCCGGACCACCCUCAAAGAAGGUCAUAGCCGCUUUUAAUGCGGCACGGUUUCCACCCCAUCCCACCUGCCAUAAUAAAAGCGCAAUAAUACAAACGGCAGAUUCCUUUGCACAGCACCUGUCCUCUCAUCCCCAAAUGGAAAGUCCUCCCCACCCUGUGCAAGAGCUCGCAGCUUGGGAACAGACUGGACCAGGCUCCCAUGAAGGCUGGAGCCACGAAGGCCGCCAGCUUCUUGUGGGGUUGGGCAGUGAGUGGCUCACGAGGGACCCUGGGGCCACCAUUUACCUUCCGCACCUGUGGGAGACCUGCCCGGAGGGAGACACGCGGUCGGGUGGGGUGACCGGCAGGCGUUGUGUUAACCAGCGCAUCGGAAAGGCGUCCGCAGGGAGCACCUCUUCAGGAUGCUGCUCCCGGACAGCCCCCAGCAGCCACCGCCAGCUCCAGCCUCUGGCCCAGCCCUGGCUGGGGACAGGCAGGACGGACGGACAGAGGUGACCCCCAGCAAGGCCCAACCCUGGUGGGGCUGGGCGGCUCUCUUCCCCGAGUCUCUGCGUGCCCAGGACUAGCCCCUGGCCAGGUGAGGGUGGAUCAGCCAGACCUGAGAAAGCCAGGCCGGCAGAUGAGGCCACGACGUCUCCGUCUCAGCAGGCGAGUCAAAACGUCUGCUUGCCGUGGCUCCUGGGCACAGGCUGGAAUGAGGGCGCUAACCAGAGACUCCAUGUGACCUGCCAGGCUACAAACAUGCCCUCCCAGCCUGGGCUCCGGCAUGUGAAUUAUUAAUGCGGUGUUGUAGUAAUCGUAUUGACGUAUCAACAGUCAAUAAUGUCAUGCUAAUAA